UGUGGAUGCACGGAAAAAUGGUUAGGAUGGAAAAUUUUAUGUUAGGUAUGUUUCACCACAAUGUUUAAAAAGUUAAAAGUGAAGCCAUUAGAAAAUGACGGUGGAGGUGGGCAGGGUGGCAGAAGCCCAAGGUGCCACUUUUCCACACCUGCAGGGAGGGGGCUGGAAGAUGAGCAGCAAAAGUCCAGACACGGACACUGGGGGACGCAGUGCAACCAUGGGACCCCAGAUCCUGCCUGCAGCCAUUCGUUCCAGAAAGGAAUGACACAGAGCUGGGGAGGAGGCGGAGGAGCAGACAGACUGAUAGCUACCAAGUGCCUGCGCUGUCAAGAAGCUUCCACAUCUGUGGAAUCACUUAAUGCUUCCAGCCUAUGAGCUCAGCUUUAUUGGCCUCCGUGUCAGAGCUGAGUGAACCAAGGCCCAGAAGAUACAGGUGUCGCCGCUACUGAGCCUGCCACCAGUGUCACUGGUGCCAGAGACGUCCCAGUCCUGUCCUGGGCCGAUCCUGGGAGGGGAGGAAUACAGCUCUCCUGGCAUCAGGACCUUGGUUAAAGGAGCAAAAUUCUCUGAGCCCGUUUUCGAAAUCUUACUGAAAAGAGCACCUACCUGACAAAUUUCACGAUAAAAUGAGAACACACUAUGUGUGCUGGUCGCAGUCAGCUGGCGGCCACAUCCUGCAGGUCUGGUGGGUCGGCUCACCCCUCUUCCUGGGCCCCUUUGUGGCUCCAGACCAGCCUGAGAGAGUGGGCUUUGUCUGGUGAGACCAUUACUUUUACAGUUCGAGGGACUCAUUCUUUGGCCUCAGGUGUUGGUGGGGUGUGUGUGUGUGUGUAAUUCAGUCAGAAAUCUCAUCUCAGCCUGAGGAUUGCAGAUUUUUGCAGUGACUCAUUCUUUGGCCUCAGGUGUUGGUGGUGGGGUGGGUGGGUGUGUGUGUUUAGUUCAGUCAGAAAUCUCAUCUCAGCCUGGGGAUUGCAGAUUUUUGCAGUGAGGUUCCCACCCCUGACGCUUCAGAUAGCACAGGUUGGGUCUGCAGCAGUUGGAGUCUUUCCAGAAAGUGACUUCAUGUGACCUCAAUUGGGCCUGGUUCCCAGUUACCCUUUCUGUAGGGAACCAAUGCAGAUGUCCGUUAAGCCUGGAGGCUCUGGGGUCAGCUUGGGGACUAAGAAAAACACCUGGGUUUGAAUUCUGGUCUAGCCAGUAUCCACUUCUCCAGUGAAUGACUCAAGCAAAGGAUUCACUUGCUCCAGCUCUCAAUUUUCUUGUCUUGGAAAUUAAGUACAAAUUAAGUAAUACUGACCUCCUGUGGCUAUUGUGAGUAUUAAAUGAAACACUUCCAUAUCUGUGGUUCAGAAUGCAUACAUUCAGCCAACCUUGGAUGGAAAGUUUUUUCCAAAUACUUUCCAAAGUUCCAAAAAAGCAAAGCUUGAAUUUUCUGUGAGCCUGGCAACUGUUUACAUAGCAUUUACAUUGAAUUAGGUAUUAUAAGAAAUCUAGGCGUUCCCGGUCGUGGCUCAGUGGUUAACGAAUCCGACUAGGAACCAUGAGGUUGUGAGUUCGAU
This is a non-coding RNA of Sus scrofa (pig), 1559 nucleotides long. NCBI's taxonomy places the organism in Eukaryota, Metazoa, Chordata, Mammalia, Artiodactyla, Suidae. The record is from RefSeq and is a predicted model, not a curated record.